This 570-nucleotide ribosomal RNA is filed under the name Levilactobacillus brevis. RNAcentral describes it as "bacterial SSU rRNA". It matches the Rfam family "Bacterial small subunit ribosomal RNA", at positions 44 to 603 of the family's 1533-position model. Lineage: Bacteria; Bacillati; Bacillota; Bacilli; Lactobacillales; Lactobacillaceae. The record is from RNAcentral.
GAGCUUCCGUUGAAUGACGUGCUUGCACUGAUUUCAACAAUGAAGCGAGUGGCGAACUGGUGAGUAACACGUGGGGAAUCUGCCCAGAAGCAGGGGAUAACACUUGGAAACAGGUGCUAAUACCGUAUAACAACAAAAUCCGCAUGGAUUUUGUUUGAAAGGUGGCUUCGGCUAUCACUUCUGGAUGAUCCCGCGGCGUAUUAGUUAGUUGGUGAGGUAAAGGCCCACCAAGACGAUGAUACGUAGCCGACCUGAGAGGGUAAUCGGCCACAUUGGGACUGAGACACGGCCCAAACUCCUACGGGAGGCAGCAGUAGGGAAUCUUCCACAAUGGACGAAAGUCUGAUGGAGCAAUGCCGCGUGAGUGAAGAAGGGUUUCGGCUCGUAAAACUCUGUUGUUAAAGAAGAACACCUUUGAGAGUAACUGUUCAAGGGUUGACGGUAUUUAACCAGAAAGCCACGGCUAACUACGUGCCAGCAGCCGCGGUAAUACGUAGGUGGCAAGCGUUGUCCGGAUUUAUUGGGCGUAAAGCGAGCGCAGGCGGUUUUUUAAGUCUGAUGUGAAAGCCU